Long non-coding RNA from Solanum stenotomum, 254 nucleotides. RefSeq lists it as uncharacterized. NCBI's taxonomy places the organism in Eukaryota, Viridiplantae, Streptophyta, Magnoliopsida, Solanales, Solanaceae. The record is from RefSeq and is a predicted model, not a curated record. The transcript has 2 exons.
UGUUGUUGCUGCUUGCUGCCGCUGGUGGAGGAGUGGUGGUCCUCCGUGGAUUAAUUUAAUUCUCUCCUUCAGGCUCCAUUUGUGAUGGCAACCUCUGAGCUAAAGAGAAUUCUAAAGGAAUUGAAGAACUUGUAGUACUUUUUGAAUGAGUUGUGCUACUUUAUUAUCAUUUUAUAGAUAUGUACUUUAAAUUUGUUUCUUAAGAUGAGUUGUAAUUGUAAGAAAUUAUUUGAACUAAGGAUUUUUUUUGUCAA